GACGGAGGGCGCGAGCGUUGUUCGGAAUCACUGGGCGUAAAGCGCGCGCAGGCGGAUGGGUAAGUCGGGGGUGAAAGACCGGGGCUCAACUCCGGGGCGGCCUCCGAGACUGCUCGUCUGGGGACCGGUAGGGGCAGGUGGAAUUCCCGGUGUAGCGGUGGAAUGCGUAGAGAUCGGGAAGAACACCGGUGGCGAAGGCGGCCUGCUGGGCCGGAUCCGACGCUGAGGCGCGAAAGCGUGGGGAGCAAAC
Molecule: ribosomal RNA, 250 nt
Filed under: uncultured bacterium
Lineage: Bacteria
Description: partial 16S ribosomal RNA
Rfam family: Bacterial small subunit ribosomal RNA
Source: RNAcentral